RNAcentral lists this ribosomal RNA (429 nucleotides) under Actinomycetes bacterium. Its description in RNAcentral is "Actinobacteria bacterium partial 16S ribosomal RNA". It matches the Rfam family "Bacterial small subunit ribosomal RNA", at positions 355 to 776 of the family's 1533-position model. Lineage: Bacteria; Bacillati; Actinomycetota; Actinomycetes. The record is from RNAcentral.
UAGGGAAUCUUCCGCAAUGGGCGAAAGCCUGACGGAGCAACGCCGCGUGAGUGAUGAAGGUCUUCGGAUCGUAAAACUCUGUUAUUAGGGAAGAACAAAUGUGUAAGUCACUAUGCACGUCUUGACGGUACCUAAUCAGAAAGCCACGGCUAACUACGUGCCAGCAGCCGCGGUAAUACGUAGGUGGCAAGCGUUAUCCGGAAUUAUUGGGCGUAAAGCGCGCGUAGGCGGUUUUUUAAGUCUGAUGUGAAGGCCCACGGCUCAACCGUGGAGGGUCAUUGGAAACUGGAAAACUUGAGUGCAGAAGAGGAAAGUGGAAUUCCAUGUGUAGCGGUGAAAUGCGCAGAGAUAUGGAGGAACACCAGUGGCGAAGGCGACUUUCUGGUCUGUAACUGACGCUGAUGUGCGAAAGCGUGGGGAUCAAACAGG